RNAcentral lists this ribosomal RNA (247 nucleotides) under uncultured bacterium. RNAcentral's name for it is "partial 16S ribosomal RNA". It matches the Rfam family "Bacterial small subunit ribosomal RNA", at positions 524 to 776 of the family's 1533-position model. The record is from RNAcentral.
GACGUAGGGCGCGAGCGUUGUCCGGAUUUAUUGGGCGUAAAGAGCUCGUAGGCGGUCUGUCGCGUCGGCUGUGAAAACCCGGAGCUCAACUCCGGGCCUGCAGUCGAUACGGGCAGACUGGAGUUCGGCAGGGGAGACUGGAAUUCCUGGUGUAGCGGUGAAAUGCGUAGAUAUCAGGAGGAACACCGAUGGCGAAGGCAGGUCUCUGGGCUGACACUGAGGCACGAAAGCUAGGGGAGCAAACAGG